UAAAUCAAACGUCUAAGUAUCCUGAUGCUUUUGACAAGUAUCAUGAUUAAAAACAUAGGGAUUGUUUAAAAUCAUAACGAUGGAAGAACUAUAAUGAUGGCCGUAUCGUUAUGUUUAUACAUGAACCUCACUCAUACUGUUUUGCUAAGGAUGCAUGGGUCCUCAUUUCAGAAUCUUGGAUCGUGAGGGCUUAUUUAAAGUUAUGUGUCUUGUUGUGUAUGGAUUCAAAAUUAUAUAAAGUUAAAAAGAAUGCAUCUACAAAAUAAACACGGAAGGGGUUUGCCAUUUUGGCCAAAAAAUGUACCUAUUUUGAUAUAACAUAUUCACUUAAUUUCACUACCUAUAGUUAUGUUAAUAUUAAAGAAAGAAUGACCUGUACCAGAGACAUAAAUAUUUUUAAUUAAUCCGCACAAACGUAGUGACUUUUGAACAGGGAAAUUUCGCGCAAACGUAAUGUGUUUAAUCGCGCAAACGUGGAUUUUUUUUCGCGCAAAUGUGGGACGAAUUCGCGCAAACGUAAUGCGCCGGUGUAUAUAUAUCUCUGCCUAUAUACUUAUAUACAAUAUUUAAAAUAUGUUUAUAUGUUUAUAUAACUGCACGUAAUCUGUAUCAUCACUCAUAAUUCAUAAAUAUACAGCUACCCUCAAAUUUCUGGAGUUCAUUUUGGAACUUAUUUGAAAUGUGAACUUACGAAAGGAAACAGUAAGAUUCCCAAUAGCACAUUUAUGUAUGUGAAAUGUAAGUCAUUUUUAUAUAAAAUCUCGCAAAAUUAUGACCGAUAUUUUUAGCAUAUCCCCGUAUACCCAAUAAUAGGGGAAAAAACGUCAAUAUAGCACGGUGCAAUUUACCUAUAUAAACGUUAUUAUCAAAUGUUUAUUUUUUAUCGAGUUUGCCAAUUUCCGAGUCCAGUCUGUAUUGUCUUGAAAUGGCAGUAUUUACAAUACUAAAAACAUUAAGACUUGAUGAAUAAGUUAACGGAAUAUAGAAAUAAUGAAAAUGCUUCAGCGGGAAUCCCAGUUACGUAAUCGGGUUUAGUCUGGAUUCGGUUCUAAUUUUUAAACGCCGGAAAGAUCUGGCGAAAGAUCUAGAUGUUAUGACGCAGACGACACCAAGGACGCUGUGCCCGAUUGUUCAUUAGAAAUGUUGUACCUGCUAUACAAACAUACACGGACAUUUGAAUAUUAAAACAUUGGAAAUGGCAUAAAAUAAGCAGUCCAUGCGGAGGCGGAGUAUUUUAUGAGAAGAAGGUCGCUUUUCAACUUAAAAAAUGGGGGACGACUUGUCUUGUGAACAGAGCAGCCAACGCAACAAGAGGCAGAUAAUUUAUUUUGGUUUGUCAAAUAUGUUCCUUGGUGUAUGAUCAGAUCUGCAUUAUAGUAUUAGUAUCAAACAAACUGUAAAUAAAAGAAAAUGAUGUUUUAGCUGCUGUAGAAAAUUUUCGAAGGAUAUGAUUACUGAUUAUGAACAACAAGAUUAUAUCAUCAUGACCAUUGGAAUCUUACAAGGAGAAGUGCAAGUAAAUGAAGGAAUUCAUGUCACAUGUGCAAAAAUUAUAAUAUUGUAAACAGGAGAACAGUCUUAUAUAAUACUAACAGUUAAACAGUUUUGUGAGACCAAGAGCAAGGCAGAGUAAACUUGGAGUGUAUAUAUGUCAACCACAAGUACAUUAAUACCACAUAAUGCUAAUGAAAAAGAACUAUGGUACACAUUUUGUAUGAUUGUGAAUAUCUGGUCCCCAAAAAAUGUAGUUGUUAAAUAAAUAGAAUUGAAAUAACUAAA
Molecule: long non-coding RNA, 1779 nt
Organism: Mytilus californianus (California mussel)
Lineage: Eukaryota; Metazoa; Mollusca; Bivalvia; Mytilida; Mytilidae
Exons: 3
Source: RefSeq, a predicted model, not a curated record